AUGAACGCUAGCGGCAGGCUUAAUACGAUGCAAGUCGAGGGGUAGCAAGAUUGUAGCAAUACAAUUGUUGACGACCGGCAAACGGGUCGGAACACGUACACAACCUUCCUACAAGUGGGGAAUAGCCCAGAGAAAUUUGGAUUAAUACCCCGUAACAUAGCGAUGUGGCAUCACAUUGCUAUUAUAGCUUCGGCGCUUGUUGAUGGGUGUGCGGCUGAUUAGAUAGUUGGCGGGGUAACGGCCCACCAAGUCUACGAUCAGUAGCUGAUGUGAGAGCAUGAUCAGCCACACGGGCACUGAGACACGGGCCCGACUCCUACGGGAGGCAGCAGUAAGGAAUAUUGGACAAUGGACGCAAGUCUGAUCCAGCCAUGCCGCGUGAAGGAUUAAGGUCCUCUGGAUUGUAAACUUCUUUUAUAAGGGACGAAAAAAGGUCUUUCUAGAUCGUCUGACGGUACCUUAUGAAUAAGCACCGGCUAACUCCGUG
RNAcentral lists this ribosomal RNA (487 nucleotides) under uncultured bacterium. RNAcentral's name for it is "bacterial SSU rRNA". It matches the Rfam family "Bacterial small subunit ribosomal RNA", at positions 29 to 507 of the family's 1533-position model. The record is from RNAcentral.